GGAGCUGGGGUCCUGGACAGAUGCAGCUGCUUCUAGAGAUGCCUGUGGAAGUAGAACAAGAAGGAAGGAAAUCCCUCGUAUCCCUCUUGGGUAAUGAUGAGCUUUCCCCUGGAGGUGUUGUCUGUGGUUCUUCUGAGACCUCUUCAGAAUGGGUAGUCUCCACACUGGGAGUAGCAUCUUGAAGUAAGCUGCAUUCUUCUGCCAGCAUCUUCCCCUUGCCUUGCAUUGAAUAAACCUAAGGAGACCCAAGAGGACAAGGGAUUCUGGAAACCACCAUCCCUGUGACACUGAACAGGGGAAA
Molecule: long non-coding RNA, 301 nt
Filed under: Mustela putorius furo (domestic ferret)
Lineage: Eukaryota; Metazoa; Chordata; Mammalia; Carnivora; Mustelidae
Description: lncRNA (ENSMPUG00000027392.1)
Source: RNAcentral